Molecule: ribosomal RNA, 262 nt
Filed under: uncultured bacterium
Lineage: Bacteria
Description: partial 16S ribosomal RNA
Rfam family: Bacterial small subunit ribosomal RNA
Source: RNAcentral
CUUAGCGGCGGACGGGUGAGUAACACGUGGGUAAUCUGCCUUAUACAGGGGGAUAACAGUUAGAAAUGACUGCUAAUACCGCAUAAGCGCACGGGAACGCAUGUUUCUGUGUGAAAAACUCCGGUAGUAUAAGAUGAGCCCGCGUCUGAUUAGCUGGUUGGUGGGUAACGGCCUACCAAGGCGACGAUCAGUAGCCGGCCUGAGAGGGUGAACGGCCACAUUGGGACUGAGACACGGCCCAAACUCCUACGGGAGGCAGCAG